GCGGGUGUGACUGAGUGGUUGAGGUACCGGCCUGCAAAGCCGUUCACACGGGUUCGAAUCCCGUCACUCGCUCGA
Molecule: transfer RNA, 75 nt
Filed under: Rhodococcus sp. (in: high G+C Gram-positive bacteria)
Lineage: Bacteria; Bacillati; Actinomycetota; Actinomycetes; Mycobacteriales; Nocardiaceae
Also listed under: 9 other names
Description: Rhodococcus sp. tRNA-Cys
Rfam family: tRNA
About the family: Transfer RNA (tRNA) molecules are approximately 80 nucleotides in length. Their secondary structure includes four short double-helical elements and three loops (D, anti-codon, and T loops).
Source: RNAcentral